UUAUGACAAUUUCAUCCAGAGAUGAAGCACCCUUCUCAUAGCUAUAUUCAUCCGAAGACAAAACACCUUCGAAAAACUCCUGCAGCUUGGCUGUACUCUUCUUUUUCUCGGAUGGUUGGACUUUGUAGGCUCCGCUCGACACCUUUUGGUUGUUGUUGUAACCAUCACCCAUGGAUAAGGAGUGUCAUUAGGCCAUUAAGUUGAGGAGCUUGAUUUUGCCUCU
Molecule: long non-coding RNA, 223 nt
Filed under: Elaeis guineensis (African oil palm)
Lineage: Eukaryota; Viridiplantae; Streptophyta; Magnoliopsida; Arecales; Arecaceae
Description: long non-coding RNA (EGUI_LNC071342)
Source: RNAcentral